CCCCCUCUCCUUUCGUUUCCGUCGCCCUCACGUGGAUUACGCUUUCCCCCAGCGUACUCUCUCUCUCAUUGCGCGUCAUCCUUAUCGUCCGUUACCGUCUCUCCUUCACGAAGAAAUCGGCGUUGAUGCGGGGCACACCAGCUCGAAUUCGUAGCUGGUGUAGGCUGCGGUCCCCUCUGCAGCAGCCACGGUCAAUGAAACGACGCUGGGAGGGAAGUGGCAGGAGGGUGGAGGCAUCGCCAACUAUGGCAUCGUCCGGUCAAUGCACGAUCGCGGAUAACAGAGAAGCGAGGUGAAGCGGAGGGAAGCGGGGGGAGGCUUGAAAGGCGAGGAAGUGGAAAGGGCGAGUAGGAGCGGGGGCCUGCACAGCGAUCAAUGAUGGGAAGCCCAGCGCAAGAAACGUAGGGCAGUGACGCGCACGCACCCAGUGAGAGAAUGCUAAAAUAAACAUUUGUUUCCUUUCUUAUUUGGGUUUUUGCUUUGUGUGUGUUUGUGUGUCUGCGCCCGGAUCGCUUACUGUUCUCUUCCUCUCUCCCUUUGACUUGUCGAUUUCCCAUCCAACGCGCACACAUCCGGAUGUGACGCGAUUUACUUGCUGUACGUUUUCUUGUUCUCUUGGCUUGCGUAGCUCUUUUUGUUCACUCCCUUUUCGUUUUGGGUGUUUGCCUUGCGUGACACACGUUGCGCUGAGAAGUGUUGUGUGUGUGUGUGUGUGUGUGUGGCCGUUGCUUUUCGCGUAUUUCGGCUCUCCUCCUCUUUCUAUGUAAACAUGUUGUCGUCUUUGAAUCUCUGUGGUGGUUUGUUUGUUCUUUAAGCUUAGGAGCUGCGACGUCUGCGUGCGUGUGUUUGCGCUUUUAUUUCACGUGGGAUGCCGAGUAGGUCAGAUUCCGGCGGCGUACCUGAGGAAGUAGCGGGCACCGGUCUGCUGCGGUGGUUGUCGCUGCCUCGUUGUUUACUGCUUUUUUGUUGUUGUUCAGUCGUCGCGUUUGGUCUCAGUGCACGAGUUGCCUUUUUUUUCUAUGCUCUCAACUUGUACUUGGUGGACGCGGCACUUUGAAUGUUGUUGCACGCGAGGUUUUCUGGUCACUCGUCUGGCUUCUUUUCGUUUUGUUUUCUGAAUUCGUGUAUGUGUGCUUGAGCAACGGCUGUCGUUGGGUGACUGGAGAAGAGGGCAUGGCGCGGCAUUCGACACGCCUCACAGAUGAGCCAUCUGCUUACAUUUUCGUUUUUUUUUUCUUUUUGCGGUUGCAAACCGCUUUCAUCCUCCUCACAUGAUGCUCAUCACACGCGUAUGAGAAGGACGUCUCUGUGCGUGCGCGCAUACAUCUUCCUUCUCCCGCUUGGCACUUGCGGAACGCCUUUUCUAUUGCCUCUCUUUUUCAAGAAUCAUUGGCCAAUCCGCAGCGGCGCUCGUGUGCAUUCCGCCCCGCGCCGUUUUUUCUGUUCCCCCCUCCCCUUCCCGUUGCCGUUCAGUGAUCCCUGCACUGCUUUCCAUUUUUGAGAAUGGCCAGAACGUGUGAAAGUUUCUGUUUGUCCGCAUUUUUUUUGCGUUGUCCUUCCUUCGCUCGCUCACUGCCCCCGCCCUCUCCAAACUUCCAAAUCUCCGCCUUGCCCGUCUAUGCCACAGCUUCUCCGGCCUCCUGUUUGUUUCCACUGUAUUCUUAAUCGUGUGUGCAUCUCUCUCUUCGCGAUGUAGGGCACUCGCUUUUGUUUUUCUGCUUGGGUUUGUCUCAAACAGCGGAUGCACGCACAUGGGCACGCACACGCACACACACACAAACUCAGUCACGUGCAGGCCCACACUCACACUCGCUCGUCCGCACGCGUCAGGCGACCGAUAUCAGCUAUGAGCAGGGAGGACCGAAACUCAGGCAGUACUCAAGGGCCCGUAAUAAAGCACGAAAGAAAUCUAAUAAUCGCGAAUACCUUCAGCACAGCCAUAAAGAAUGUGCUGUCGGCACCACCCGAGUCAGAGAAGAGCAAGCAUGCACAGAGAGUGAGAAGCAAGAGGAGGUGGGCUCGCGGCGUCGGCGCAGGGGCUCUCACACUAAUUAGCCACCACCACCUCUCCAUCUCUCUCCAUCCGUGGCUUUACUGGGGUCUUUUCUCGUCUCCGCCACUUGAAGCUGUCUCAGCUAUCGCCCGCCCCACCCCUUGCUCCAGCGCAAGCUGUCAUCUGUGCUCACGUCCCUGCAUGCUGAGUAUGCACGAAGCGGGCAAUGAGGGAGUAUGUAUUCUUUUUUUUUGUGGCUGAGCUCUUUGUGUGACUGUCGAGCUGUCGUGACAGGUACCUUAGUCAUUUCUGCCGGGCACAACGCCUCAAGACCUACUUCGUCUCCGUUUCUGUGGCUCGCCCCUCUCUCUCUUCGCUCUUUUCUUUGUGUGUUGGGGGGAUCUACAUCCGGAAAUACCGUGUUAUCGUCUUCCCUCCCCGUGUCGCCUGUCCUUUCAUCUCUCUCCCUCGCUUACGCGUUCACUGUGUCACCCAUGCCUGCUGCCCUUCACCGUUUCGCGCAG
RNAcentral lists this unclassified non-coding RNA (2517 nucleotides) under Leishmania donovani. RNAcentral's name for it is "gene:unknown". The record is from RNAcentral. Lineage: Eukaryota; Euglenozoa; Kinetoplastea; Trypanosomatida; Trypanosomatidae.